UGUUAUUCUAUUAAGAAGUGCUUUCCCCCCCCAAGAUGAAACAAAUCCUCUGAUUCAGAGAUCAGUUUUAAGCUUACAUGUUUUGUACAGUCCCAGAUUUGAUGGAUCUUAGAAACGAAUCAAAUCCCAUCAACCUGAAAAUCUAUCCAUCCCUGCCAAAAACAAUCUAAUGUUCUUGGCACACAUGCUUCCCAGAAAUAAACUUCUUUUUUAAUCCAUGAGAUUUAUUUCCCCAAAAGCAAAGGGGAUGGCUGCUGUCUCUCUAAAGAAGGUCCAAUCAGGAGUGCUCCAGAAAUUACAGAACAGCCUAAAAUGUUCAAGUUUGAAAAGAAGGCAUGUUCCAACAAAGAAAAAAUGCCAGUUGGGAGAAAAACAAAUCUAACCUAGGGCGUAGCUAUCCUCUCUUUUGUCAGCAGACUAUUCUGGAUCAGCAGUCCAAGAGACAGUGAAAGUUGGUGCUAACUCAGGAUCAGCCACCGGAGAAGGUAAAAUUGUCCAACCAAAGAAAAUGGCUUCAAACGGAGUAUCUAUGAUGCUUCUGUUCUUUAUCUCCAUCUCUGUUAUCAAUAUUUCUCAGUCUCAAAACCCACAAGCCUUUCAAAGGAAACAUAUGACAUUUCUGGAUAACAUAGACCACAACAGAUGCAACAGUGAGAUGCAAAAUAGAAGGAUUUCUUUGACUAGAAGUGGAUGCAAACGGCUCAACACAUUCAUCCAUGCCCCUGAGAAGCUUAUUGACCAAACCUGUGUGUCAGGGAAACCAUACGUGAUCCAAAAUUUGGAAUAUAAGAAGAGUAGCAUGAAAUUUCGUGUGACAAGUUGCAGACUUUCUCAGGAAUAUGGAAAAGAUUGCAAGUACAAGGCAGAAGAGAGCAGAUGGAAAUAUAUUGUGGUUUCGUGCAACCAAAAUGACCGUCCAGUCCAUCUGGCAGGGAUACUUACCUGGUAAAGCAAGAAGAUGAACAAAUUUGUUUCUCAAGUAGUUGCUUUAUUUUAUGAGUUCAGUAAUGCAUUUUUUUCCCUGUAGAUUCUAGGGAGAAAAGCUUAUUCUGUUGUGCCAAUAUCUUUUUUAAACCCUCUGAUUUAGUUUUGGUGCCUUGAAAGUGUUGGAAGAAAUGUCUUUCUGGGUUCAGUUCCAAGUGGGGAAAAAGACACUGGAAACAUGGAGACUGCUUGGAAAGAUGGUUUAAUGGUGGACAGGAAUCACAUGGCUUGAGUUCCUGAACAGAAAAGUGGGGGUGAGAUGCUGAGAGUUCCUGGGUUUUAUGCCCUCUCUGGACUUUAAACUUCUUGGGGCACAGGAAAAGUAUCCUGAUUGGUUGUCAGAGGUCAUAGCUAACCUUGCUGGCUGAUGUAAUCUUCCCAGGUGCCAUGUGGGGAGUUUCUGUUGCUAGAUUGAUCCUUUGUGUUGCAGAUGGGAUGCUGAGGCCUUAAUGGCCCAUUGACAAAGGUGGGGGGAAUGAGUUUCUGCCUCCCUUUUUGCGGGAAAUAUUCUGCCUUUUUAGCGUAUCCUAAAACCAUGAUGGCGAACCUAUGGCACGCGUGCCACAGAUGGCAUGCGUGGCCAUAUCUGUGGGCACGCAAGAGUUGCCCUAGCUUAGAUCCAGUGUGCAUGUGUACGCCAGCCAGCUGAUUUUCGGGCCUUUUGGGCCCACCAGAAAUUGGGAAACGGGCUGUUUUUGGCCUCGGGUGGGGAAGACCAUUUUCACUCUCUCCAGGCUCCUAGCAAGCCUCUGGAGCCUGGGGAGGGCAAAAAACAGGCCUACCGGGCCCACUGUGCCAUCGCGUGCCAAAAGCAGGGGGAGUGCGGGGGGUUCACACGUGCAUGCAUGGGGGGCAGGGCACAAUUAUGGGUAUUGGCACACGCACGCUCGACACCCCCAGCUCCCCUGCACUUUUGGCACACAAUGGCAAAAAGGUUAGCCACCACUGUCCUAAAAUAUUUCAUUUUUCUAGGAGAGGGGUGGGUUUUAACUUCCAACAAAACUAGGUUGAUUUUUUUUCUGAAAUUCUACAUAUCAAGCAGAUCAGUGGUGGUAUUCUGCCGGUUCUAACCAGUUCGGCAUACCGGUAGCGGGAGGCUCCGCCCACCCGUCCAGACAUCAUCAUGUCCUGUUUUUGAUGAUCUGCACAUGCAUAGGUCUUGCACAUGCAUGGAGGUGGUGCAUGCAAAUGAAGCGAGUGCGCUCCCACGCUCACAUUUGCAAACUGAUAGCGAAGGUAAGUGAAUGCCACCACUGAAGCAGAUGCUGAAAAAGAUAUGGCCAGGGCCUAUUUUGCUGUCCUAUAGAAGUGAUCUCCAUCCCUUAUAAACAGCUGGGGUGUUGUAGGAAGUUAGCUGGAAGAGUGAAAUAUUUUAGGAAAUAUGAAAAAGGCAGAAUAUUAUAUUUCCCUGGGAUAAGCAUGUUUUGAAGCAGCUCCCAUCUUCCUGCCCCCACCCUUUGUCAAUGGGCCAUUAAGGCUUGGGCCAGUCUAUUCUACAUAACAAAGAUCUACCUCCUUCAGGCAGAGCCAUAGUAGGAAUUGCCAAAGAUCCAACAAAGAUAGGAUUAGCCCUCUACACAAUAGCAGCAGAAACUCACCACAUGUGACCUGGGAAGCACAUGUGACCAUCAGCCAGCAAAGCUAGCUAAGACCCCCACCCCCUGGAAGUCUGACAACCAAUCAGGAUACUCUUUCAGGGUCCCAAGAAAUGCAGAGCCAGAGAGAGCAUAAAAACCCGAGGAUUUACUGUAUCUGCCCUUUUCUGUUCAGAAACUCAAGCCAUGUGAUCCUGUCCACCAUUAAACCAUCUUUCCAAGCAGCCUCCAUGUUUCCAGUGUCUGUUUCCCCACUUGGAGCAGAACCUAGAAGGAUGUUUCUUCCAACAGUGUAAAAUUGUCCUUCAACACUCUGAAGGAGAACCUGAGAAAUAUAAAUCAACUGCAUGGAUGAUUCUUUUCUAGUAAUUCUAGUAAUUUGGGGAAAUGAAAUGGCUUCCCAGAUAGUCUCUGAGUUUGUGCUGGUUUUGUUCCCUGUCUGAAACUAAUUCUUGUGCAAGGGCAGAAUCCAAUUAGACAUUUCUAAUUACCUUGCAAAUCAACCCACAGUUUCUAUACUCAGACCCAAGUGCUGCACAAUGGAGUGAGCUCCCAUCUUUGCUCAGCUGACCACCUAACAGUUCGAGUGCACGCAAAUGCGAGUAGAUAAAUAGGUACCAUUUUGGUAACAGUGUUCUGUGCACCUCGGCGUAUAAUCAUGCUGGCCACAUGACCAUGGAAAUAUCUUUGGACAAUACUGGAUCUCUCGCUAAGAAAUGGAGAUGAGCACCGCUCCCUAAAGUCUUCUUUUGUGAAUGCGUUUCCUAAUUUGCAAUAUUUAGUCUAUCAAAGCUAUUGUUGCAGUUUUCAUAUCAUGUAGAAAAUUGUUAAAACAUAAUUUGUAAGUAUAACUGUUGCACAGCUUAGCAAUAUAAAUGUCUACAUGUCAUUCUCUAAACAA
Pantherophis guttatus is the source of this 3480-nucleotide long non-coding RNA. RefSeq lists it as uncharacterized. Lineage: Eukaryota; Metazoa; Chordata; Lepidosauria; Squamata; Colubridae. The record is from RefSeq and is a predicted model, not a curated record.